AUUAAGAGACUUUGGGUUAGACUGAUACAUUUUCUUAGACAAAACACAAACAAUAUCAUUUAUAAGAUUUUAAUCACUAGACUAAUUCUUCACUAUUUAUGACUUAUAACUUAAAAAGUUUUAAUGUUACAAAAAAGUGAUAAAAAAAGAUUUACCAUUUUUUUUUGAUUAAAAAUAUUAUGUGUUUAAAACUCAAAAUAUUUUUGUCUUAAAUCAGAAUAUAUAAAAAAAAUUAAAAUAAUUAUGCGAUGUCUGCCAAGCACUUUUACAUAAUCGUAUCGUUUAUUCCAUUGGGAAAAUUCAAUCAUAUUAUUUUUUCUUAUAAUUUCAUGUUGUAUAUUUGUUAAUUUCGACUUUCAUUGAUUAGCUAUUGUAUGUACAUUGGACAAUUUAUCUUGAUUUUUUUUUACCAUCGACUUAAUUACAACUAGAUCUCGAUCAGCGCAACCGCACAAGUUUUUGUUUUCAUUUAUUUUUAUAUAAACAUUUUGUUUUCAAUUCUAAAUUGGUAGAUGUUAUAAUAUGUAUGUGUCUAUCAAUUUUUAAAACGUAAUAAAUUUACAGUAUAUUUUUUUCAUUGAAUAGAUUGUUUCAAGCUUUCACAUGUUUUUGUAUCUUCUUAUAUAUAUAUAUAUAUAUUUUUUUUUUUUUGGAUUAUUAUUUCAUUAUUAAAAUCAUAAAUAUAUAUAUAAAGAUUAGUAAAAUAUUGUUUUAUUAUCAUAUUUAAAGAUAUUGCAAAAUUUCACAAAUUUAGAAAAAAAUUUAAAAAUUAAACUUUUCGCUUCAUUGAUUUAUAUUAUCGAGUAAAUAAUUAAACAUUUAGUUUUU
Molecule: long non-coding RNA, 828 nt
Filed under: Brassica rapa (field mustard)
Lineage: Eukaryota; Viridiplantae; Streptophyta; Magnoliopsida; Brassicales; Brassicaceae
Description: long non-coding RNA (BRAP_LNC006254)
Source: RNAcentral